GUGAUAAGAGGUUGUACAGGAAGGAUGUGGAUGGGUUCAAUCAGGAGGAACAAAUUCAAGAAAAUAAGGCUAAAGAAUUUGAACUUUCUGAAUCCCGGAAUGGAAAAGAAAUUGAGUCCCGAAGAACAGGUAGAGUUCCAGAUUGGAGAAGUGAGGCAGAGGUGUUGCCCAGGGCAAGAAGAGUAGAUCCUGAAGGUAUGAGGUACGCGUCCUCCGUUAACUCAGAAGAGGGUCCUUCUGGCUACUGGUCAGGUUCAAAUUAUGAUAAUGAUAAGAGGUUGUAUGGGAAGGAUGUGGAUGAUUUAAGUCAGGUUGAUUGUCCAGUUGAUGAGCGAGCAGAG
This 341-nucleotide unclassified non-coding RNA is filed under the name Hevea brasiliensis (rubber tree). Lineage: Eukaryota; Viridiplantae; Streptophyta; Magnoliopsida; Malpighiales; Euphorbiaceae. The record is from RNAcentral.